GACGAACGCUGGCUGCGUGCUUAACACAUGCAAGUCGAACGGAAAGGCCCUGCUAUUGUGGGGUGCUCGAGUGGCGCACGGGUGCGUAACACGAGAGUAUACCGCCCUUGCCUUUGAGAUAACUUCAGCAAACUGGGGGUAAUACCAGAUCGGAGCUCCUGCUGCCUGGUGGGGGUUAGAAAGAUUCGGCUGUUGGGGACUGACUCGCGGCUUAUCUGCUUGAUGGUGGGGUAGUGGCUUACGAAGGCUUAGGCGGGUAGGCGGCCUGAGAGGGUGACCGGGUACAUGGGGACUGAGAUACGGCCCGGAGUCGUACGGGAGGCAGCUGUGGGGAAGAGUGCACAAUGGGCGCAAGUCUGGUGCAGCAAGACCGCGUUCGGGAUUAUGGCCUUCGGGUAUUAAACAACUUUGGCCGGUAAGUAAGCGUUAUUGACGGUAACGUAUAAAGAAGCACCGGCUAACUACGUG
Molecule: ribosomal RNA, 468 nt
Filed under: uncultured bacterium
Lineage: Bacteria
Description: partial 16S ribosomal RNA
Rfam family: Bacterial small subunit ribosomal RNA
Source: RNAcentral